GAUCAACGCUGGCGGCGUGCUUAACACAUGCAAGUCGAACGAAGUUUUUCCUUCGGGAGAAACUUAGUGGCGGACGGGUGCGUAACGCGUGGGUAACCUGCCCUGUACAGGGGGACAACAGCUGGAAACGGCUGCUAAUACCGCAUAGGCACUUAGCACUGCAUGGUGCAUAGGGAAAAGGAGCAAUCCGGUACAGGAUGGACCCGCGUCUGAUUAGCCAGUUGGCAGGGUAACGGCCUACCAAGGCGACGAUCAGUAGCCGAUCUGAGAGGAUGUACGGCCACAUUGGGACUGAGACACGGCCCAGACUCCUACGGGAGGCAGCAGUGGGGAAUAUUGCACAAUGGAGGAAACUCUGAUGCAGCGACGCCGCGUGAGUGAAGAAGUAUUUCGGUAUGUAAAGCUCUAUCAGCAGGGAAGAAAAUGACGGUACCUGACUAAGAAGCACCGGCUAAAUACGUG
RNAcentral lists this ribosomal RNA (462 nucleotides) under uncultured bacterium. RNAcentral's name for it is "partial 16S ribosomal RNA". It matches the Rfam family "Bacterial small subunit ribosomal RNA", at positions 28 to 507 of the family's 1533-position model. The record is from RNAcentral.